GAUGAACGCUGGCGGCGUGCCUAAUACAUGCAAGUCGAGCGAACAGAUAAGGAGCUUGCUCCUUUGACGUUAGCGGCGGACGGGUGAGUAACACGUGGGUCACCUAUCUCUAAGACUGGAAUAACUCCGGGAAACCGGGGCUAAUGCCGGAUAACAUGUUGAACCGCAUGGUUCUACAGUGAAAGGCGGCUUUGCUGUCACUUAUAGAUGGACCCGCGGCGUAUUAGCUAGUUGGUGAGGUAACGGCCCACCAAGGCAACGAUACGUAGCCGACCUGAGAGGGUGAUCGGGCACACUGGGACUGAGACACGGUCCAAACUCCUAAGGGAGGCAGCAGUAGGGAAUCAUCCGAAAUGGGCGAAAGCCUGACGGAGCAACGCCGCGGGAGUGAUGAAGGUCUUCGGAUCGUAAAACUCUGUUAUUAGGGAAGAACAAAUGCGUAAGUAACUGUGCGCGUCUUGACGGUAACUAAUCAGAAAGCCACGGCUAACUACGUG
Molecule: ribosomal RNA, 497 nt
Filed under: uncultured bacterium
Lineage: Bacteria
Description: partial 16S ribosomal RNA
Rfam family: Bacterial small subunit ribosomal RNA
Source: RNAcentral